AAAAGCUCGUAGUUGGAUCUCAGCUCCGGCCGGACGGUCCGCCUACCGGUGGUUACUGUUCGUCGCCGAGCGUUCAGGCGGUUAUUCUUGAUGAUCUUCACCGGUUGUCUCGGGUGACCGCCAAGUUUACUUUGAAAAAAUUAGAGUGCUCAAAGCAGGCGCGACGCCUGAAUAAUUGUGCAUGGAAUAAUGGAAUAGGACCUCGGUUCUAUUUUGUUGGUUUUCGGAACACGAGGUAAUGAUUAAGAGGGACAGACGGGGGCAUUCGUAUUGCGACGCUAGAGGUGAAAUUCUUGGACCGUCGCAAGACGAACUACUGCGAAAGCAUUUGCCAAGAAUGUUUCCAUUAAUCAAGAACGAAAGUUAGAGGUUCGAAGGCGAUCAGAUACCGCCCUAGUUCUAACCAUAAACGAUGCCAGCCAGCAAUUCGCCUGUGUUCCUCAAAUGACACGGCGGGCGGCUUCCGGGAAACCAAAGCUUUUGGGUUCCGGGGGAAGUAUGGUUGCAAAGCUGAAACUUAAAGGAAUUGACGGAAGGGCACCACCAGAAAUGGAGCCUGCGGCUUAAUUUGACUCAACACGGGAAAACUUACCCGGCCCGGACACAGGAAGGAUUGACAGAUUAAGAGCUCUUUCUUGAUUCUGUGGGUGGUGGUGCAUGGCCGUUCUUAGUUGGUGGGGCGACUUGUCUGGUUAAUUCCGAUAACGAACGAGACUCUAGCCUACUAAAUAGACGUUCCGAUCCUCUUUCGUCGGACGUUCUUCUUAGAGGGACAAGCGGCGUUUAGCCGCACGAGACAGAGCAAUAACAGGUCUGGGAUGCCCUUAGAUGUCCGGGGCCGCACGCGCGCUACAUUGAAGGAAUCAGCGUGUGCUUUCCCUGUCCGACAGGACUGGGUAACCCGUUGAACCUCCUUCGUGCUGGGGAUUGGAGAUUGUAAUUGUCCUCCAUGAACGAGGAAUUCCCAGUAAGCACGAGUCAUCAGCUCGUGUUGAUUACGUCCCUGCCCUUUGUCCACACCGCCCGUCGCUACUACCGAUUGAAUGAUUUAGUGAGGUCUUCGGACUGGCGCUCGGAUUGGCCUUCGCGGUCGAGCCGGUGUGCCGGAAAGAUGACCAAACUUGAUCACUUAGAGGAAGUAAAAGUCGUAACAAGGUUUU
This 1160-nucleotide ribosomal RNA is filed under the name Backobourkia heroine. RNAcentral's name for it is "SSU rRNA". It matches the Rfam family "Eukaryotic small subunit ribosomal RNA", at positions 622 to 1803 of the family's 1831-position model. Lineage: Eukaryota; Metazoa; Arthropoda; Arachnida; Araneae; Araneidae. The record is from RNAcentral.